Molecule: ribosomal RNA, 494 nt
Filed under: uncultured bacterium
Lineage: Bacteria
Description: partial 16S ribosomal RNA
Rfam family: Bacterial small subunit ribosomal RNA
Source: RNAcentral
AUGCACGCUGGCGGCGUGCCUAAUACAUGCCAGUCGAGCGAACAGACGAGGAGCUUGCUCCUCUGACGUUAGCGGCGGACGGGUGAGUAACACGUGGAUAACCUACCUAUAAGACUGGGAUAACUUCGGGAAACCGGAGCUAAUACCGGAUAAUAUAUUGAACCGCAUGGUUCAAUAGUGAAAGACGGUUUUGCUGUCACUUAUAGAUGGAUCCGCGCCGCAUUAGCUAGUUGGUAAGGUAACGGCUUACCAAGGCAACGAUGCGUAGCCGACCUGAGGGUGAUCGGCCACACUGGAACUGAGACACGGUCCAGACUCCUACGGGAGGCAGCAGUAGGGAAUCUUCCGCAAUGGGCGAAAGCCUGACGGAGCAACGCCGCGUGAGUGAUGAAGGUCUUCGGAUCGUAAAACUCUGCUAUUAGGGAAGAACAAAUGUGUAAGUAACUAUGCACGUCUUGACGGUACCUAAUCAGAAAGCCACGGCUAACUACGUG